Molecule: ribosomal RNA, 499 nt
Filed under: uncultured bacterium
Lineage: Bacteria
Description: partial 16S ribosomal RNA
Rfam family: Bacterial small subunit ribosomal RNA
Source: RNAcentral
ACUCAAAUGAAUAGACGGGGGCCCGCACAAGCGGCGGAGCAUGCGGAUUAAUUCGAUGCAACGCGAAGAACCUUACCUGGGUUUGACAUAUGCGAGAACUCUCUAGAGAUAGAGAGCUCUUUGGACACUCGCAUACAGGUGGUGCAUGGCUGUCGUCAGCUCGUGUCGUGAGAUGUUGGGUUAAGUCCCGCAACGAGCGCAACCCUCGUCUUAUGUUGCCAGCACGUAAUGGUGGGGACUCAUAAGAGACUGCCGGGGUCAACUCGGAGGAAGGUGGGGAUGACGUCAAGUCAUCAUGCCCCUUAUGUCCAGGGCUUCACGCAUGCUACAAUGGCCGGUACAAAGGGCUGCGAUACCGCAAGGUGGAGCGAAUCCCAAAAAGCCGGUCUCAGUUCGGAUUGGGGUCUGCAACUCGACCCCAUGAAGUCGGAGUCGCUAGUAAUCGCAGAUCAGCAACGCUGCGGUGAAUACGUUCCCGGGCCUUGCACACACCGCCCGU